Molecule: ribosomal RNA, 468 nt
Filed under: uncultured bacterium
Lineage: Bacteria
Description: partial 16S ribosomal RNA
Rfam family: Bacterial small subunit ribosomal RNA
Source: RNAcentral
GACGAACGCUGGCGGCGUGCUUAACACAUGCAAGUCGAACGGAAAGGCCCUGCUUUUGUGGGGUGCUCGAGUGGCGAACGGGUGAGUAACACGUGAGUAACCUGCCCUUGACUUUGGGAUAACUUCAGGAAACUGGGGCGAAUAUCGGAUAGGAGCUCCUGCUGCAUGGUGUGGGAUGGAAAGUUUCGGCGGUUGGGGAUAGACUCGCGGCUUAUCCGCUGGUUGGGCGGGUUGGUGUUUACCAAGGUUAUGAAGGAUAGCCGGCCUGAGAGGGUGGCCGGCCACAUUGGUACUGAGAGACGGCCCAGACUCCUACGGGAGGCAGCAGUGGAGAAUAUUGCAGAAUGGGCGGAAGCCUGAUGCAGCAACGCCGCGUGCGGGAUGACGGCCUUCGGGUUGUAAACCGCUUUCGAAUGUGCCGAGGCGUGAGUGACGGUAAUGGGUAAAGAAGCACCGGCUAACUACGUG